Long non-coding RNA from Sander lucioperca (pikeperch), 435 nucleotides. RefSeq lists it as uncharacterized. The record is from RefSeq and is a predicted model, not a curated record. NCBI's taxonomy places the organism in Eukaryota, Metazoa, Chordata, Actinopteri, Perciformes, Percidae. The transcript has 3 exons.
AGUCUCCAACGCUGUCUUCUCGGACCGAACUCAGGCCCUGCAAGCCAACCCCAGUUGCCUGGUGGAGGCCAUUUGUAGCCAGCUCUGCCAGCUCCACCCAACAGGCACGCGGUCCAUGGGGGUCCAGAGGACUAGGUGGUCCCUGGUCCUCUCGGACUACAUGGCCAUCAGAGCGGCAGUGCUGGCCAGCCCGAGGUUGAUGCUCAGAUGGACAUCCAGCACUAUGAACUGAAUCAGAGGACCCUGUCUCAGUGGUUCUCUCAGCGCCAGAAAGAAGAGGAGAAGGCUGUGCUGCUGCAGGCAACUGGCAUUGUGCCUGCGGCAGUACUGGCUGGCGAGCCUCUCCCUCCAGCAAAAGGGCUGUCCUGUGUCCAGGUGGGACAAGGACAGCCCUUUAACUUCAAUGUCCCUGAGGAGCAGCCCAGCCCAGAACAG